RNAcentral lists this ribosomal RNA (468 nucleotides) under uncultured bacterium. RNAcentral describes it as "partial 16S ribosomal RNA". It matches the Rfam family "Bacterial small subunit ribosomal RNA", at positions 28 to 507 of the family's 1533-position model. The record is from RNAcentral.
GACGAACGCUGGCGGCGUGCUUAACACAUGCAAGUCGAACGGAAAGGCCCUGCUUUUGUGGGGUGCUCGAGUGGCGAACGGGUGAGUAACACGUGAGUAACCUGCCCUUGACUUUGGGAUAACUUCAGGAAACUGGGGCUAAUACCGGAUAGGAGCUCCUGCUGCAUGGUGGGGGUUGGAAAGUUUCGGCGGUUGGGGAUGGACUGGCGGCUUAUCAGCUUGUUGGUGGGGUAGUGGCUUACCAAGGCUUUGACGGGUAGCCGGCCUGAGAGGGUGACCGGCCACAUUGCGACUGAGAUACGGCCCAGACUCCUACGGGAGGCAGCAGUGGGGAAUAUGGCACAAUGGGGCGAAGCCUGAUGCAGCAACGCCGCGUGCGGGAUGACGGCCUUCGGGUUGUAAACCGCUUUGGCCUGUGGCGAAGCGUGAGUGACGGUAAUGGGUAAAGAAGCACCGGCUAACUACGUG